Molecule: ribosomal RNA, 484 nt
Filed under: uncultured bacterium
Lineage: Bacteria
Description: partial 16S ribosomal RNA
Rfam family: Bacterial small subunit ribosomal RNA
Source: RNAcentral
AUUGAACGCUGGUGGCAGGCCUAACACAUGCAAGUCGAGCGGAUGAAGGGAGCUUGCUCCUGGAUUCAGCGGCGGACGGGUGAGUAAUGCCUAGGAAUCUGCCUGGUAGUGGGGGAUAACGUCCGGAAACGGGCGCUAAUACCGCAUACGUCCUGAGGGAGAAAGUGGGGGAUCUUCGGACCUCACGCUAUCAGAUGAGCCUAGGUCGGAUUAGCUAGUUGGUGGGGUAAAGGCCUACCAAGGCGACGAUCCGUAACUGGUCUGAGAGGAUGAUCAGUCACACUGGAACUGAGACACGGUCCAGACCCCUACGGGAGGCAGCAGUGGGGAAUAUUGGACAAAGGGCGAAAGCCUGAUCCAGCCAUGCCGCGUGUGUGAAGAAGGUCUUCGGAUUGUAAAGCACUUUAAGUUGGGAGGAAGGGCAGUAAGUUAAUACCUUGCUGUUUUGACGUUACCAACAGAAUAAGCACCGGCUAACUUCGUG